This 253-nucleotide ribosomal RNA is filed under the name uncultured bacterium. RNAcentral describes it as "partial 16S ribosomal RNA". It matches the Rfam family "Bacterial small subunit ribosomal RNA", at positions 524 to 776 of the family's 1533-position model. The record is from RNAcentral.
GACAGAGGUGCCAAGCGUUAGGCGGAAUCACUGGGCUUAAAGCGUGUGUAGGCGGACUGGUAAGUACCUUGUGAAAUCCCACGGCUCAACCGUGGAACUGCUGGGUAUACUGCUUGUCUUGAGCCACUUAGGGGCUGUCGGAACAAACGGUGGAGCGGUGAAAUGCGUAGAUAUCAGGAGGAACACCAGCGGCGAAGGCGGCGCUCUGGGCCGGAACUGACGCUGAGGAGCGAAAGCGUGGGUAGCAAACAGG